CCUACGGGGGGCAGCAGUGGGGAAUAUUGGACAAUGGGGGCAACCCUGAUCCAGCCAUGCCGCGUGUGUGAAGAAGGCCCUCGGGUUGUAAAGCACUUUCAGUGAGGAAGAACGCCUGGUGGUUAAUACCCAUCAGGAAAGACAUCACUCACAGAAGAAGCACCGGCUAACUCCGUGCCAGCAGCCGCGGUAAUACGGAGGGUGCGAGCGUUAAUCGGAAUUACUGGGCGUAAAGCGCGCGUAGGUGGCUUGAUAAGCCGGUUGUGAAAGCCCCGGGCUCAACCUGGGAACGGCAUCCGGAACUGGCAAGCUAGAGUGCAGGAGAGGAAGGUAGAAUUCCCGGUGUAGCGGUGAAAUGCGUAGAGAUCGGGAGGAAUACCAGUGGCGAAGGCGGCCUUCUGGACUGACACUGACACUGAGGUGCGAAAGCGUGGGUAGCAAACAGGAUUAGAUACCCGUGUAGUC
This 465-nucleotide ribosomal RNA is filed under the name Vreelandella stevensii. Its description in RNAcentral is "partial 16S ribosomal RNA". It matches the Rfam family "Bacterial small subunit ribosomal RNA", at positions 338 to 795 of the family's 1533-position model. The record is from RNAcentral. Lineage: Bacteria; Pseudomonadati; Pseudomonadota; Gammaproteobacteria; Oceanospirillales; Halomonadaceae.